AAGCAGCUACAAAUGGCGAGCUGAUGCUGGAGCUCUGAAAGUUGUGCAUGGCAGUAGGGUUGUCUUGAAGGGGAAGAAGUGUAGAAAAUGCUAUCUCUUGUUAGGAAGCUCAACGUGAGGUGGAGCUCCAAGCAUAGGUAGAUGGGGCACGAGAUAGAAGACUUGGAAGGAUGACAAGCGAUGUCUUAAAAUGAAGUUCUUAUUAUUGUAAGAGGCUAUCCAAGUAGGUCUUAGAUCAGGUAAAUCACAGUACAUGAUGGAGAUGGGAUCGAGUGGUCUAGCUCGACUUUCAUAUCUACCCAUCUAUGAGCAGCCAGACAUUUACCCCAGGGCAUGGAGACGAGAUCAUUCACAAGCUCUCAAAUCCAUAUGAAAACUGAAUGUCGAGUUGAGAUAGAGAUUUGUGGGAUUUGAUGCCUCGAAUUUGAUCUUGAUUGGUUAAUAGAAGCCCAAGACUCAAGGAUAGAUGGAGAAAUUAUAAGGUUGAGCUCAAUUGGAUUCAAAUCGAAAGUGAGUCGAUCAAUUUGAAGGUGAAUCAAUAAAGAACCAGUAGUAAACUGACUGAACAAGCGGAGAACCAGCUGAAAACCAACUAAACCAAUCCUAAACUGGGCUGAACCGACCACUGGACUGAUUAUGGUGCCCUGAAUCGACCACUAGACCAAC
RNAcentral lists this long non-coding RNA (666 nucleotides) under Elaeis guineensis (African oil palm). Its description in RNAcentral is "long non-coding RNA (EGUI_LNC030296)". Lineage: Eukaryota; Viridiplantae; Streptophyta; Magnoliopsida; Arecales; Arecaceae. The record is from RNAcentral.